RNAcentral lists this long non-coding RNA (743 nucleotides) under Monodelphis domestica (gray short-tailed opossum). RNAcentral describes it as "lncRNA (ENSMODG00000031236.2)". The record is from RNAcentral. Lineage: Eukaryota; Metazoa; Chordata; Mammalia; Didelphimorphia; Didelphidae.
AUUUAAUAAAAGUGUUGGCAUUAAAACUUCUUUAAUUCGUUUUCAGGACCUUGAAAAAACUUCUAAUAUAAAGUACUUACAUUAUUCAUGAGUUAAGAGAAAGUUGUAAUUUGAAAGGAGAAAAUAAAAUAGGUGUUUUCCCCUUUCUGAGUUACCCUUCAAAAUUCUUGGGAUCAUACUAUAUUCAGGGUCGUAUUAUAUUCUGGCUAAUAUGGUACCUCAUCAACCUUUGACUUAGUUCAGUCACCCAGUGUGGAAGAGGUAUGCAUGCAAAGAACAGAAGCUGGAGAUGGGUCAUCUGUCAGUCAAAUGAAGAUUCCAUUUGGAAUGUGACUGGGAAACAGUUGGAGGCAAGAGUCAACGGCUUGACUGGAUUUUAAGGUCUUUGGGCUUUCAGCCUCUUCCACACCAAUCAGCUUCGACUACAGCUCAAAAUUCCCGAGCUCAGGUGAUCUCUUGGCCCAUACCUCUCCAGUAGUAGGCACUAUAGUUCACUUGAUCUAGACCAUCCUUGGUGAUUUGUUGAAAGAAAAGAUCUCAAAAUGUCACUGAAAAGGUACAGACUGACAUCUGACAUUAAGUGGGACUUAAAAGGAUUAUCUAACUCUAAGUCAGAGGGAACCCUGGAAAGAGACAAUGCUCUUGGUGAUCAAAAAAAGAUUUUUAAAAAGAGGAAGGCUGUGCAGCUUGCAUCUACAUACUCUAGAAAAACCUGGAAGUUCACAACAAACAAACACAGCUGA